UUCAUAAAAUGACUGAAAGCAAGUACU
Molecule: transfer RNA, 27 nt
Filed under: Rhadinopsylla cedestis
Lineage: Eukaryota; Metazoa; Arthropoda; Insecta; Siphonaptera; Ctenophthalmidae
Description: partial tRNA-Lys
Source: RNAcentral